UACGUAGGGGGCUAGCGUUGUCCGGAAUUAUUGGGCGUAAAGAGCGCGCAGGCGGUCGUUCAAGUCGCGUGUGAAAGCCCCCGGCUCAACUGGGGAGGGUCACGCGAUACUGAUCGACUCGAAGGCAGGAGAGGGAAGUGGAAUUCCCGGUGUAGUGGUGAAAUGCGUAGAUAUCGGGAGGAACACCAGUGGCGAAGGCGACUUCCUGGCCUGUUCUUGACGCUGAGGCGCGAAAGCUAGGGGAGCAAACGGG
This 253-nucleotide ribosomal RNA is filed under the name uncultured bacterium. Its description in RNAcentral is "partial 16S ribosomal RNA". It matches the Rfam family "Bacterial small subunit ribosomal RNA", at positions 524 to 776 of the family's 1533-position model. The record is from RNAcentral.